AGAAUGAACGCUGGCGGCAUGCCUAACACAUGCAAGUCGAACGAGACCUUCGGGUCUAGUGGCGCACGGGUGCGUAACGCGUGGGAAUCUACCCCUUGGUUCGGAAUAACAGUUGGAAACGACUGCUAAUACCGGAUGAUGACGUAAGUCCAAAGAUUUAUCGCCGAGGGAUGAGCCCGCGUAGGAUUAGCUAGUUGGUGUGGUAAAGGCGCACCAAGGCGACGAUCCUUAGCUGGUCUGAGAGGAUGAUCAGCCACACUGGGACUGAGACACGGCCCAGACUCCUACGGGAGGCAGCAGUGGGGAAUAUUGGACAAUGGGCGAAAGCCUGAUCCAGCAAUGCCGCGUGAGUGAUGAAGGCCUUAGGGUUGUAAAGCUCUUUUACCCGGGAUGAUAAUGACAGUACCGGGAGAAUAAGCUCCGGCUAACUCCGUGCCAGCAGCCGC
RNAcentral lists this ribosomal RNA (446 nucleotides) under uncultured bacterium. RNAcentral's name for it is "SSU rRNA". It matches the Rfam family "Bacterial small subunit ribosomal RNA", at positions 26 to 518 of the family's 1533-position model. The record is from RNAcentral.